This 729-nucleotide ribosomal RNA is filed under the name Escherichia coli. RNAcentral's name for it is "partial 23S ribosomal RNA". It matches the Rfam family "Bacterial large subunit ribosomal RNA", at positions 2069 to 2797 of the family's 2925-position model. The record is from RNAcentral. Lineage: Bacteria; Pseudomonadati; Pseudomonadota; Gammaproteobacteria; Enterobacterales; Enterobacteriaceae. RNAcentral also lists the same sequence under 1 other name.
CCCGCGGCAAGACGGAAAGACCCCGUGAACCUUUACUAUAGCUUGACACUGAACAUUGAGCCUUGAUGUGUAGGAUAGGUGGGAGGCUUUGAAGUGUGGACGCCAGUCUGCAUGGAGCCGACCUUGAAAUACCACCCUUUAAUGUUUGAUGUUCUAACGUUGGCCCGUAAUCCGGGUUGCGGACAGUGUCUGGUGGGUAGUUUGACUGGGGCGGUCUCCUCCUAAAGAGUAACGGAGGAGCACGAAGGUUGGCUAAUCCUGGUCGGACAUCAGGAGGUUAGUGCAAUGGCAUAAGCCAGCUUGACUGCGAGCGUGACGGCGCGAGCAGGUGCGAAAGCAGGUCAUAGUGAUCCGGUGGUUCUGAAUGGAAGGGCCAUCGCUCAACGGAUAAAAGGUACUCCGGGGAUAACAGGCUGAUACCGCCCAAGAGUUCAUAUCGACGGCGGUGUUUGGCACCUCGAUGUCGGCUCAUCACAUCCUGGGGCUGAAGUAGGUCCCAAGGGUAUGGCUGUUCGCCAUUUAAAGUGGUACGCGAGCUGGGUUUAGAACGUCGUGAGACAGUUCGGUCCCUAUCUGCCGUGGGCGCUGGAGAACUGAGGGGGGCUGCUCCUAGUACGAGAGGACCGGAGUGGACGCAUCACUGGUGUUCGGGUUGUCAUGCCAAUGGCACUGCCCGGUAGCUAAAUGCGGAAGAGAUAAGUGCUGAAAGCAUCUAAGCACGAAACUUGC